GUACGGAAGGUCCGGGCGUUAUCCGGAUUUAUUGGGUUUAAAGGGAGCGCAGGCGGAGAUGCAAGCGUGACGUCAAAUUUCGGGGCUCAACCCCGUCUCGCGUCGCGAACUGCGUCCCUUGGUUGCGGGAAGGGGAGGCGGAACUCGUGGGGUAGCGGUGAAAUGCAUAGAUAUCACGAAGAACUCCGAUCGCGAAGGCAGCCUUCCGGCCCGUCAACGACGCUCAUGCUCGAAGGUGCGGGUAUCAAACAGGAUUAGAUACCCUGGUAGUCCGCACAGUAAACGAUGGACACCCGCGGUUUGGCCUGUAUGGCUGAGCCGCCAAGCGAAAGCGUUAAGUGUCCCACCUGGGGAGUACGCCGGCAACGGUGAAACUCAAAUGAAUUGGCGGGG
Molecule: ribosomal RNA, 393 nt
Filed under: uncultured bacterium
Lineage: Bacteria
Description: partial 16S ribosomal RNA
Rfam family: Bacterial small subunit ribosomal RNA
Source: RNAcentral